This 253-nucleotide ribosomal RNA is filed under the name uncultured bacterium. RNAcentral's name for it is "partial 16S ribosomal RNA". It matches the Rfam family "Bacterial small subunit ribosomal RNA", at positions 524 to 776 of the family's 1533-position model. The record is from RNAcentral.
UACGGGGGGGGCAAGCGUUGUUCGGAAUUACUGGGCGUAAAGGGCUCGUAGGCGGCCAACUAAGUCGGACGUGAAAUCCCCAGGCUCAACCUGGGAACUGCGUCCGAUACUGGAUGGCUUGAAUCCGGGAGAGGGAUGCAGAAUUCCAGGUGUAGCGGUGAAAUGCGCAGAUAUCAGGAGGAACACCAGCGGCGAAGGCGGCGCUCUGGGCCGGUACUGACGCUGAGGAGCGAAAGCGUGGGUAGCAAACAGG